This 460-nucleotide ribosomal RNA is filed under the name uncultured bacterium. RNAcentral's name for it is "partial 16S ribosomal RNA". It matches the Rfam family "Bacterial small subunit ribosomal RNA", at positions 338 to 795 of the family's 1533-position model. The record is from RNAcentral.
CCUACGGGAGGCAGCAGUGAGGAAUAUUGGUCAAUGGGCGCGAGCCUGAACCAGCCAAGUCGCGUGAGGGAUGACGGCCCUACGGGUUGUAAACCUCUUUUGCCGGGGAGCAACGGGCGCCACGUGUGGCGCCACGGAGCGUACCCGGAGAAAAAGCAUCGGCUAACUCCGUGCCAGGAGCCGCGGUAAUACGGAGGGUGCGAGCGUUAUCCGGAUUUAUUGGGUUUAAAGGUGGCGUAGGCGGAUCGUUAAGUCAGUGGUCAAAUUGAGGGGCUCAACCCCUUCCCGCCAUUGAAACUGGCGCUCUUGAGUGGAAGAGAAGUAUGCGGAAUGCGUGGUGUAGCGGUGAAAUGCAUAGAUAUCACGCAGAACCCCGAUUGCGAAGGCAGCAUGCCGGCUUCCGACUGACGCUGAAGCACGAAAGCGUGGGGAUCGAACAGGAUUAGAUACCCUGGUAGUC